Molecule: long non-coding RNA, 1880 nt
Organism: Aquila chrysaetos chrysaetos
Lineage: Eukaryota; Metazoa; Chordata; Aves; Accipitriformes; Accipitridae
Exons: 3
Source: RefSeq, a predicted model, not a curated record
CCCACGGCGACCCCCGGUGUCCCCGGGGCCAAGGAGGGCCGCGAUCCUGCCCCCGAGCGGCCAGGCGGGCGCAGGGCGCGCUCGGGGGUCCGUCGGGCCGGCUGCCGCUGCGGCGCCGGGGCCGGUCGCGGUGUCCGCGGUCCCGCGGAAAGCCUGAAAGCCGGCCGGGGUGGCGGCCGCGGCUUACGCCGGCGUCGUGGUUGGAGCCAAAAGCGGCACACGUCCUCCGGGAGCCCGCCCCAAGGAAAGGGCCGUGCGUUGGAAGUAGGGCUGCUCCGGCGUUCUUAGCUCUGAACGCGCCGCGCGGGAGGACGAGCGCUCAGCAGCCGUUUGUCCAAUCGCUGUGCCACCGGCGUAGCAUUGCCGAUGAUGGCACCAGAUAGGUGGGUAAUAUCCGGGCAGACUUGACCCCCUUUUCCCUUAAUUGCUGUGUUUACUCUUCUCCAUUAGGUCAGUUGCGUCUUCACUGCAGUCUGUUAAAAACACUUGGUAACGGCCGGCAUCCUCUUGACCUCAUUUAUACAUUAGAGAACUGAAUACAUGCAUGAAAUGGGCCCUAGUUCGUGUGUUUGGAUUAUUUAGAUGCAAGUCUCAGGGCAGAAGAAUGGUUACGAACCACAGCAGGAAACUCUUGAUUUACAAACACUAAGCACUGAUUGCUCCUACAAGCCACCAGCACAAUUUGUAUUGGACAAGCACUCAUGUCCUAAAGCCUCAGCAUCCUGCUGCCUGCCGUAGCAGCAACCAGGCCAUGGAACACUAACUCCCUCACACUUACCAAUAGUCACACAGGAGAUGAGAAAGCCAAGAUCAAACGAACAGCGUCACCUGUGUAUGGGUACAGCUUAUCUACCAUUUGUAUGGUGGCAAUUCCAGUUAAUGGCUCAGCUUGAAUUUCCCCACAAGCAUGACUGCAAGACAGGAAACUAGAGGAAGAGCUCUUCACUGCAAAGUAAAAAAUCCCAGACAGCUCCUUUAAAAUGAAGUUCUUGCAUCAGGAGUUGAAAAACACCAGGAAGCAAAACAAAGCAGACUGCAGUGAAGACCUGUCUCUUCCCAGCACCUUACCUUCAGGAGGCAUAGCAGGCAAACUCCUGGGUCAGGCCAGUCAGUGGGGGAAAUUUGCAGGGUCCUUCUACUGACUUAAUCCAUCUCUUCUACUUCUGUCAGACAGGACAGCAGCUCUGGGCUGGGAAAGCUCCUGCUUGUAAGAAUGCCAUGACAUUUUCUCCUCAUGGGGAGGGGAAAGAGUGCAAUAGUUUGUGUGGGAAGGACAGGGGGUUGCUAUUUUAAUUAUCCCACCUGCAAAGGUAUGUUGUUUGCUCUGUUCCUCCCACAUGGCUGUUUGCCAUCAAUCCUGUGCUCUACUCAAAUGCAGCCCAACCAAAAGUGGAGAAGAAAAGCAUUUAGUUUAAUGCCUCUGUUUUCUUUUUUUUUUGUUUUUCUGCAUUUAAACACUUAACAGACAAGGUGUGACAACAGGCCAUGUAAGGCCUACUGCUUUGAAAUGCCUACAAAACGGUAUUUAGCUGCCAAUACAAGCAUCUUAACUGGCUGACCAGUGCGAAUGGGCAAAAAAAGCAAGCAGAGGCACUGCAUUAAGGUAGCAACAGCAAGCCCUAAUUAUUUCACAUUAUUAUCUGAUAACAGUGCAGUGUGCAAUCUGUCACACGCCUAAGGUGUCUGAAAGUCCUAUUCAGCCCUCAGUAAUGAAGUAUUUCCUUAUCCUUUAACCAACAAAACACAGCUACAACAGGGGUUUUCCUCUCAUUCCUGGGAGCACGUCUUAUUACUCAUGGCCAAUAAUAUAUGAAAAACCCACAAAAGACAGUGCUUUUUGUCAUUAAUAUGAUCUUUAAUAAAUGGAAUAAUGCACCAUU